UGGGGAAUUUUGGGCAAUGGGGGAAACCCUGACCCAGCAACGCCGCGUGAAGGAUGAAGUAUUUCGGUAUGUAAACUUCGAAAGAAUAGGAAGAAUAAAUGACGGUACUAUUUAUAAGGUCCGGCUAACUACGUGCCAGCAGCCGCGGUAAUACGUAGGGACCAAGCGUUGUUCGGAUUUACUGGGCGUAAAGGGCGCGUAGGCGGCAUGACAAGUCACUUGUGAAAUCUCUGGGCUUAACCCAGAACGGCCAAGUGAUACUGUCGCGCUAGAGUGCAGAAGGGGCAAUCGGAAUUCUUGGUGUAGCGGUGAAAUGCGUAGAUAUCAAGAGGAACACCUGAGGUGAAGACGGGUUGCUGGGCUGACACUGACGCUGAGGCGCGAAAGCCAGGGGAGCAAACGGGGAUUAGAUACCCGAGUAGUCCCUGAGCGGGCUGGCAAGGCGCAU
RNAcentral lists this ribosomal RNA (448 nucleotides) under uncultured bacterium. RNAcentral describes it as "bacterial SSU rRNA". It matches the Rfam family "Bacterial small subunit ribosomal RNA", at positions 355 to 825 of the family's 1533-position model. The record is from RNAcentral.